CAGUAAAUGCUGUGGCAUGAAGGACCCUCCUGGAGUGUCUGAGUUCUCAGGCUUCAAGGCCCCUAGAUAAGCAGAUUUCUCUCCCCUAUCACCAUAGUCACCCCAGGGACUGCAGGGCAGGCCGAAAUCAGCCAGUGACUCAGCUCCUUGGGCAAUUCAGCUGGCCCACAGACCACUUCCUCUGCUCCCCAGCGCCGGAUGGAUGCAGAUCUGUUUCCAACUAAGGACUGAGCACACUCUCAACAUGGACCUCCUAACUGCUCUCGAGGAUGGACAGCUGGCCUCAAGGGAACACUGCAAAGUGGCUCUAGGAAGAAGCCACUGUCCCUCCAGACCAUAAAAAUGGCUACCAAGGGCAGAGCCAGCAGCUUUCGCUGUAAAGUUUCUCAAGAAAAUCACAGAUAUUCCCCUCUGUGAUGUUCAGCUCAGCCUGGAAAGGAGAGGUAGAAACUGAGAGUUGAAGAGGCUGAAUAAUUUCUCAAGCACACUCCCAACUCGACCACCCACAAGCAAAAAGGCAGAGCUGGGAUUCAAACACAGGUAUGACUGUGUGUGGACAUCUCCCCUGUGCUAUGCUCCCUGAAGGAAAAUUCUAAGUGGUGUUGUUUCUGGGAGAAAUCUACCUGUGUGGUCUUUAAACCUACUCUGACAGGAGCAAGGGCCACCACUCUGUAUCUAAGACCACUGGGAACAGUCUUCAGGCAACAAGGUGACCAGGGCAGCUGCAGAGGGUAUCUAUGCCCCUGCCCCCUAGCGCAAAAGUCUGUUUCUCUUUCCAAAUGGCCCGCUGGGAGCAACUAUUUAGGGAGACCAUACCUCCUCCCACACUCAGUUCCCAGGCCUGAGCCACAGAGUCCUGCCACAGGAGGGAGGACCUGCCUGUCCUGCUCCCUCCCCACUCCAGGUUCCUGGAGGCCUCUGUGAUGAUUCCCCAGGAAGGACUACAGGAUCUGGCAGGCAGCAGGUGGCGGUGGGAGGAGGAGAGUCCUGGGAGCACAGCACUCCUAACCCCCUCUGCCUCUCACAGAACAAAGAGGGAGUCAUGCCAUGUCCCCUGCUCCCACAAAUGCCCCACCCAGAGGGGCUAAUGCCUAGGAUUGAGGGUCUUGUGUGCUGAGGAAGUCCUGUCCCCCAAUCCCCUACAAAAGCCAGAACCAGCUACUAAGGGGUUAGACACAGACAGAACUGUCUAUAUUAACAUUUCCUCCUAAAAAACAACAGGAAUCCUGGGGAAAGACCACUGGCCUGGGACUCCAUGAGCCCUGGCUUCUAUCUCUGGCUUUAUCAGGUGACCAUAGGCAAGUCACCUAGCCUCCAUGGUCUAGGCUCUCCUGCCUGUUGGGUGGGAAUCAUUACAUAUCACAAUCAUUACAGCUGACCUUCAGGGAGGCUGUACUCUGGGUCAGGAAUUGUGUUGGGUGCAUUAUCAUAUUUAUUCUCACAGCACCCUUUGCAGUAGCUACUAUUUUCAUACCCAUUCUCAGAUGAGGAAACUGUGGAACAGGCUGGUUAGGGGACAUGCCCAAAGUGACAAACUUAGCAAAGGUGGACCUGGCACUCAGUACCACAUCUGUUUUUCCAUGCUCUUAACCACUGUAACAUACAGAGCCCUUUUACAGAGAUCAAGGACAGAGGUAAAAGUGUUUUGAAAGCAAAAAAAAAAAAGUGGGGAGGAUGCAUAAAAUAAACAUAAAUCACCCCCUGCCCCGCCCAGACAUAAUUCAGGGAAGAGUCCUAACCCCCAAGAACCUUCUGUGGAACUUAUUCGCAACAUCAGAGACCUCCAACAUAGAAAUGACCCUCAAUAAGUCAUUCCUCUUUCCCUUCAGGCAGGAAUAAUAUAACUAACUGAAUUAUACAGGUGAGACCACGAAGGUCAAGCAAGGGUGACCAGCUUAGGCCCCUGGCUGGCAGGUAAGGAGGAGACUGACCCCAGCCUCCUGGCUCCUAGGGGAGGAAACAGUGAUGACAAAGGCCCCUUUGCAUGGCCAAGGUGGAGCCCUUUCUACCAAAGUUUAAACGUUUUAGUAUAAUAUCCAAGUGCAUCUUUUCCAACCUUAAAAACAUAUUUAAUUUCCUUAUAAAGCUGGUUGGCACUCUCCUCCUCCUCCAAAGCUCUGUAUUAGGCAGGGUUCAUAGUUGUAGACAACAGA
RNAcentral lists this long non-coding RNA (2153 nucleotides) under Homo sapiens (human). Its description in RNAcentral is "HSALNT0329545". Lineage: Eukaryota; Metazoa; Chordata; Mammalia; Primates; Hominidae. The record is from RNAcentral.